Molecule: ribosomal RNA, 468 nt
Filed under: Streptococcus mutans
Lineage: Bacteria; Bacillati; Bacillota; Bacilli; Lactobacillales; Streptococcaceae
Description: bacterial SSU rRNA
Rfam family: Bacterial small subunit ribosomal RNA
Source: RNAcentral
GACGAACGCUGGCGGCGUGCCUAAUACGUGCAAGUGGGACGCAAGGGAACACACUGUGCUUGCACACCGUGUUUUCUUGAGUCGCGAACGGGUGAGUAACGCGUAGGUAACCUGCCUAUUAGCGGGGGAUAACUAUUGGAAACGAUAGCUAAUACCGCAUAAUAUUAAUUAUUGCACGAUAAUUGAUUGAAAGAUGCAAGCGCAUCACUAGUAGAUGGACCUGCGUUGUAUUAGCUAGUUGGUAAGGUAAGAGCUUACCAAGGCGACGAUACAUAGCCGACCUGAGAGGGUGAUCGGCCACACUGGGACUGAGACACGGCCCAGACUCCUACGGGAGGCAGCAGUAGGGAAUCUUCGGCAAUGGACGAAAGUCUGACCGAGCAACGCCGCGUGAGUGAAGAAGGUUUUCGGAUCGUAAAGCUCUGUUGUAAGUCAAGAACGUGUGUGAGAGUGGAAAGUUCACACAGG